This 2903-nucleotide ribosomal RNA is filed under the name Escherichia coli. RNAcentral describes it as "bacterial LSU rRNA". It matches the Rfam family "Bacterial large subunit ribosomal RNA". Lineage: Bacteria; Pseudomonadati; Pseudomonadota; Gammaproteobacteria; Enterobacterales; Enterobacteriaceae. The record is from RNAcentral. RNAcentral also lists the same sequence under 1 other name.
UUAAGCGACUAAGCGUACACGGUGGAUGCCCUGGCAGUCAGAGGCGAUGAAGGACGUGCUAAUCUGCGAUAAGCGUCGGUAAGGUGAUAUGAACCGUUAUAACCGGCGAUUUCCGAAUGGGGAAACCCAGUGUGUUUCGACACACUAUCAUUAACUGAAUCCAUAGGUUAAUGAGGCGAACCGGGGGAACUGAAACAUCUAAGUACCCCGAGGAAAAGAAAUCAACCGAGAUUCCCCCAGUAGCGGCGAGCGAACGGGGAGCAGCCCAGAGCCUGAAUCAGUGUGUGUGUUAGUGGAAGCGUCUGGAAAGGCGCGCGAUACAGGGUGACAGCCCCGUACACAAAAAUGCACAUGCUGUGAGCUCGAUGAGUAGGGCGGGACACGUGGUAUCCUGUCUGAAUAUGGGGGGACCAUCCUCCAAGGCUAAAUACUCCUGACUGACCGAUAGUGAACCAGUACCGUGAGGGAAAGGCGAAAAGAACCCCGGCGAGGGGAGUGAAAAAGAACCUGAAACCGUGUACGUACAAGCAGUGGGAGCACGCUUAGGCGUGUGACUGCGUACCUUUUGUAUAAUGGGUCAGCGACUUAUAUUCUGUAGCAAGGUUAACCGAAUAGGGGAGCCGAAGGGAAACCGAGUCUUAACUGGGCGUUAAGUUGCAGGGUAUAGACCCGAAACCCGGUGAUCUAGCCAUGGGCAGGUUGAAGGUUGGGUAACACUAACUGGAGGACCGAACCGACUAAUGUUGAAAAAUUAGCGGAUGACUUGUGGCUGGGGGUGAAAGGCCAAUCAAACCGGGAGAUAGCUGGUUCUCCCCGAAAGCUAUUUAGGUAGCGCCUCGUGAAUUCAUCUCCGGGGGUAGAGCACUGUUUCGGCAAGGGGGUCAUCCCGACUUACCAACCCGAUGCAAACUGCGAAUACCGGAGAAUGUUAUCACGGGAGACACACGGCGGGUGCUAACGUCCGUCGUGAAGAGGGAAACAACCCAGACCGCCAGCUAAGGUCCCAAAGUCAUGGUUAAGUGGGAAACGAUGUGGGAAGGCCCAGACAGCCAGGAUGUUGGCUUAGAAGCAGCCAUCAUUUAAAGAAAGCGUAAUAGCUCACUGGUCGAGUCGGCCUGCGCGGAAGAUGUAACGGGGCUAAACCAUGCACCGAAGCUGCGGCAGCGACACUAUGUGUUGUUGGGUAGGGGAGCGUUCUGUAAGCCUGUGAAGGUGUGCUGUGAGGCAUGCUGGAGGUAUCAGAAGUGCGAAUGCUGACAUAAGUAACGAUAAAGCGGGUGAAAAGCCCGCUCGCCGGAAGACCAAGGGUUCCUGUCCAACGUUAAUCGGGGCAGGGUGAGUCGACCCCUAAGGCGAGGCCGAAAGGCGUAGUCGAUGGGAAACAGGUUAAUAUUCCUGUACUUGGUGUUACUGCGAAGGGGGGACGGAGAAGGCUAUGUUGGCCGGGCGACGGUUGUCCCGGUUUAAGCGUGUAGGCUGGUUUUCCAGGCAAAUCCGGAAAAUCAAGGCUGAGGCGUGAUGACGAGGCACUACGGUGCUGAAGCAACAAAUGCCCUGCUUCCAGGAAAAGCCUCUAAGCAUCAGGUAACAUCAAAUCGUACCCCAAACCGACACAGGUGGUCAGGUAGAGAAUACCAAGGCGCUUGAGAGAACUCGGGUGAAGGAACUAGGCAAAAUGGUGCCGUAACUUCGGGAGAAGGCACGCUGAUAUGUAGGUGAAGUCCCUCGCGGAUGGAGCUGAAAUCAGUCGAAGAUACCAGCUGGCUGCAACUGUUUAUUAAAAACACAGCACUGUGCAAACACGAAAGUGGACGUAUACGGUGUGACGCCUGCCCGGUGCCGGAAGGUUAAUUGAUGGGGUUAGCCGCAAGGCGAAGCUCUUGAUCGAAGCCCCGGUAAACGGCGGCCGUAACUAUAACGGUCCUAAGGUAGCGAAAUUCCUUGUCGGGUAAGUUCCGACCUGCACGAAUGGCGUAAUGAUGGCCAGGCUGUCUCCACCCGAGACUCAGUGAAAUUGAACUCGCUGUGAAGAUGCAGUGUACCCGCGGCAAGACGGAAAGACCCCGUGAACCUUUACUAUAGCUUGACACUGAACAUUGAGCCUUGAUGUGUAGGAUAGGUGGGAGGCUUAGAAGUGUGGACGCCAGUCUGCAUGGAGCCGACCUUGAAAUACCACCCUUUAAUGUUUGAUGUUCUAACGUUGACCCGUAAUCCGGGUUGCGGACAGUGUCUGGUGGGUAGUUUGACUGGGGCGGUCUCCUCCUAAAGAGUAACGGAGGAGCACGAAGGUUGGCUAAUCCUGGUCGGACAUCAGGAGGUUAGUGCAAUGGCAUAAGCCAGCUUGACUGCGAGCGUGACGGCGCGAGCAGGUGCGAAAGCAGGUCAUAGUGAUCCGGUGGUUCUGAAUGGAAGGGCCAUCGCUCAACGGAUAAAAGGUACUCCGGGGAUAACAGGCUGAUACCGCCCAAGAGUUCAUAUCGACGGCGGUGUUUGGCACCUCGAUGUCGGCUCAUCACAUCCUGGGGCUGAAGUAGGUCCCAAGGGUAUGGCUGUUCGCCAUUUAAAGUGGUACGCGAGCUGGGUUUAGAACGUCGUGAGACAGUUCGGUCCCUAUCUGCCGUGGGCGCUGGAGAACUGAGGGGGGCUGCUCCUAGUACGAGAGGACCGGAGUGGACGCAUCACUGGUGUUCGGGUUGUCAUGCCAAUGGCACUGCCCGGUAGCUAAAUGCGGAAGAGAUAAGUGCUGAAAGCAUCUAAGCACGAAACUUGCCCCGAGAUGAGUUCUCCCUGACUCCUUGAGAGUCCUGAAGGAACGUUGAAGACGACGACGUUGAUAGGCCGGGUGUGUAAGCGCAGCGAUGCGUUGAGCUAACCGGUACUAAUGAACCGUGAGGCUUAACCUU